GUUUGAUCAUGGCUCAGGACGAACGCUGGCGGCGUGCCUAAUGCAUGCAAGUCGCACGCAGAGUGCUUGCACUCUGAGUGGCGCACGGCUGAGGACCACGUGGGAACAUGCCUCCUUGUGGGGGACAACACCGCGAAAGCGGUGCUAAUCCCGCAUACGCUCGGGCAACCGAGGAAAGCGGUAACGCGCAGGGAGAGUGGCCCGCGGCCCAUCAGGUCGUUGGUGGGGUAAUGGCCUACCAAGCCGGUGACGGGUAGCUGGUCUGUGAGGACAGACAGCCAGACUGGGACUGAGACACGGCCCAGACUCCUACGGGAGGCAGCAGCAAGGAAUUUUCGUCAAUGGGCGCAAGCCUGAACGAGCAACGCCGCGUGGAGGAUGACGGCCUUCGGGUUGUAAACUCCUUUUGCGGGGGACGAUGAUGACGGUACCCCGCGAAUAAGGCUCGGCUAACUCUGUGCCAGCAGCCGCGGUAAUACAGAGGAGCCAAGCGUUGUCCGGAUUGACUGGGCGUAAAGCGCACGCAGGCGGACGCGCGCGUGGGGUGUGAAAUCUGGCCGCUUAACGGCCAGGCGCCAUCCCAUACGGCGCGUCUGGAGCCAUGCAGAGGGCGGUGGAAUUGCCGGUGUAGUGGUGAAAUGCGUAGAGAUCGGCAGGAACACCCAGGGGGAAACCAGCCGCCUGG
RNAcentral lists this ribosomal RNA (685 nucleotides) under uncultured bacterium. RNAcentral describes it as "bacterial SSU rRNA". It matches the Rfam family "Bacterial small subunit ribosomal RNA", at positions 11 to 732 of the family's 1533-position model. The record is from RNAcentral.